CCAUAAGAGGUCCAGCCUGCCCAGUGACUCUGUUCAACGGCCGCGGUAUCCUAACCGUGCGAAGGUAGCGUAAUCACUUGUUCAUUAAUUGUGGACUAGUAUGAAUGGCACCACGAAGGUUACACUGUCUCCUUUCUCCAAUCAGUGAAACUAAUCUCCCCGUGAAGAAGCGAGGAUAGAAUUAUAAGACGAGAAGACCCUAUGGAGCUUAAAAUAAUACAGCAUUCACCUAAUAUUCAGCUUCAAAACAUAACUUCCCAUAAAAUUAUAUGUUGUAAAUUUUUGGUUGGGGUGACCGCGGAGUAUAACCCAACCUCCGCAUUGAAUGCUUAGAGCUACCCCCCGAAGCAUUAACACUUUAACAUUAAUUGACCCAAUAAAUUUGAACAACGAACCAAGUUACCCUAGGGAUAACAGCGCAAUCCACUUCAAGAGCCCCUAUCGACAAGUGGGUUUACGACCUCGAUGUUGGAUCAGGGUAUCCCAGUGGUGCAGCCGCUGCUAAAGGUUCGUUUGUUCAACGAUUAAAACCCUACGUGAUCUGAGUUCA
RNAcentral lists this ribosomal RNA (550 nucleotides) under Didynamipus sjostedti. RNAcentral describes it as "partial 16S ribosomal RNA". It matches the Rfam family "Bacterial large subunit ribosomal RNA", at positions 1843 to 2613 of the family's 2925-position model. The record is from RNAcentral. Lineage: Eukaryota; Metazoa; Chordata; Amphibia; Anura; Bufonidae.